CGCACGGUGGCUUAGUGGUUAGCACGUUCACCUCACACCUCCAGGGUCAGAGGUUCGAGUGGCCCUGUGUGUGCGG
Molecule: non-coding RNA, 76 nt
Organism: Ameiurus melas (black bullhead)
Lineage: Eukaryota; Metazoa; Chordata; Actinopteri; Siluriformes; Ictaluridae
Source: the annotation of a GenBank genome assembly